Molecule: unclassified non-coding RNA, 263 nt
Filed under: plant metagenome
Description: partial contains small subunit ribosomal RNA, internal transcribed spacer 1, and 5.8S ribosomal RNA
Source: RNAcentral
UUUCCGUAGGUGAACCUGCGGAAGGAUCAUUAUUGUAUAACCGAGGUGCGAGGGCCGUCGCUGACCCGAAAGGUCGUGCACGCCCGAGUGCCCUCACACACAUCCAUCUCACCCCUAUGUGCACCACCGCGUGGGUCCCCCUUUGGCUUGUUCGGAGGGGGGCUUACGUUUUCACACAAACUUUGUAUGCAGUGUAGAAUGUAUUUUUUGUUUUUGCGAUCACGCAAUCAAUACAACUUUCAACAACGGAUCUCUUGGCUCCC